Molecule: transfer RNA, 770 nt
Filed under: Escherichia coli
Lineage: Bacteria; Pseudomonadati; Pseudomonadota; Gammaproteobacteria; Enterobacterales; Enterobacteriaceae
Rfam family: tRNA (bases 34-107)
Source: RNAcentral
GCAACGCCGAUAAGGUAUCGCGAAAAAAAAGAUGGCUACGUAGCUCAGUUGGUUAGAGCACAUCACUCAUAAUGAUGGGGUCACAGGUUCGAAUCCCGUCGUAGCCACCAUCUUUUUUUGCGGGAGUGGCGAAAUUGGUAGACGCACCAGAUUUAGGUUCUGGCGCCGCAAGGUGUGCGAGUUCAAGUCUCGCCUCCCGCACCAUUCACCAGAAAGCGUUGUACGGAUGGGGUAUCGCCAAGCGGUAAGGCACCGGUUUUUGAUACCGGCAUUCCCUGGUUCGAAUCCAGGUACCCCAGCCAUCUUCUUCGAGUAAGCGGUUCACCGCCCGGUUAUUGGGGUAUCGCCAAGCGGUAAGGCACCGGUUUUUGAUACCGGCAUUCCCUGGUUCGAAUCCAGGUACCCCAGCCAUCGAAGAAACAAUCUGGCUACGUAGCUCAGUUGGUUAGAGCACAUCACUCAUAAUGAUGGGGUCACAGGUUCGAAUCCCGUCGUAGCCACCAAAUUCUGAAUGUAUCGAAUAUGUUCGGCAAAUUCAAAACCAAUUUGUUGGGGUAUCGCCAAGCGGUAAGGCACCGGAUUCUGAUUCCGGCAUUCCGAGGUUCGAAUCCUCGUACCCCAGCCAAUUUAUUCAAGACGCUUACCUUGUAAGUGCACCCAGUUGGGGUAUCGCCAAGCGGUAAGGCACCGGAUUCUGAUUCCGGCAUUCCGAGGUUCGAAUCCUCGUACCCCAGCCACAUUAAAAAAGCUCGCUUCGGCGAGCUUUUUGC